RNAcentral lists this long non-coding RNA (362 nucleotides) under Jatropha curcas. RNAcentral describes it as "long non-coding RNA (JCUR_LNC000201)". The record is from RNAcentral. Lineage: Eukaryota; Viridiplantae; Streptophyta; Magnoliopsida; Malpighiales; Euphorbiaceae.
GCAGAGGCUGCGGUGGCUGAAGGUGGUUCCUCUGAUAGGAACGUACAAGCUUUUGUGGAUGAAGUAAGGAGAAGAAGUGUCGAGAUACAUACUGGUAAGUCAAGUGUUAGCAUUGUGGAAAAGGAAAAUGUUGACUUGGUCAUGGAGCCUGAAAUCAUCAAAGGAAAGGAAAAUGUUGACUUGGUCAUGGAGCCUGAAAUCAACAAAGGAAAGGAAAAUGUUGACUUCGUCAAGGAGCCUGAAAUCAUCAAGCGAAAUGAAAAUGUUGACUUGGUCAACGAGGCCAAAAGCAAUGGUGAAGUGGAAGAGCCCAUAAGCAAUGGAAAAGCAGAAGAAAUAUUGGUGGUGUGAUCAAAGCAUAG